This 544-nucleotide long non-coding RNA is filed under the name Citrus sinensis (sweet orange). RNAcentral's name for it is "long non-coding RNA (CSIN_LNC005803)". Lineage: Eukaryota; Viridiplantae; Streptophyta; Magnoliopsida; Sapindales; Rutaceae. The record is from RNAcentral.
ACUGCUUUCUAGGAUCUCUUUCUUCUUUGGAGAUACAAUAGCUUUACAAAGAUCCAAUAUAAAACUCCUUGGGAUAAAAAUAGUCCAAGGAAAGCUUUUCUCCACAGCAUAAACUAUACACUUUUGGAAAACUUCAGUUCUUUUUAUCAGAUAUAUGUGUAAUUUAUUCAUAAAGUCCUUGUAUCCACCAACCUGGCGUACGACUUUAUAGAAAACAUCCAGUGUUCCUUUAUAUCUAUUACAUUUUGGAGCUGGUUCAGAGCCUGGAACUGCACACGUGCAUGAUGGAGAAUUUCUCAUAUCUGGAAGCAUCUACAGAAACAAUUUGAAAGACAGCACUCGUCACAAGAUCAUAUAACAUAGAGCAAUAAGAAUAGUAAUGUCUAUGCAUAAUGAUCAUAACAGAAAAGAGAAUUCAUCUAUCACAUUUAUCAUUCCAACCCUCUCAAAAUACUAAUUGAAGGAAAUGAGGAGACAAAUUUAACAAAAGCAAACCAAGGGGGAAAACCAGAGGAAAGCAAAACAGAUGACAUGCAUUUUUAAA